RNAcentral lists this transfer RNA (76 nucleotides) under Treponemataceae bacterium. Its description in RNAcentral is "tRNA-Ala". It matches the Rfam family "tRNA". From Rfam's summary of the family: Transfer RNA (tRNA) molecules are approximately 80 nucleotides in length. Their secondary structure includes four short double-helical elements and three loops (D, anti-codon, and T loops). Lineage: Bacteria; Pseudomonadati; Spirochaetota; Spirochaetia; Treponematales; Treponemataceae. The record is from RNAcentral.
UGGGGGUGUAGCUCAUCUGGCUAGAGCGCUUGCAUGGCAUGCAAGAGGUAAGGGGUUCAAGUCCCCUCAUCUCCAU